UACGUAGGUGGCAAGCGUUGUCCGGAUUUACUGGGCGUAAAGAGCGCGCAGGCGGUCGUUCAAGUCGCGUGUGAAAGCCCCCGGCUCAACUGGGGAGGGUCACGCGAUACUGAUCGACUCGAAGGCAGGAGAGGGAAGUGGAAUUCCCGGUGUAGUGGUGAAAUGCGUAGAUAUCGGGAGGAACACCGGUGGUGUAGACGGCUUCUGGACCGACACUGACGCUGAGACACGAAAGCGUGGGUAGCAAACAGG
RNAcentral lists this ribosomal RNA (252 nucleotides) under uncultured bacterium. RNAcentral's name for it is "partial 16S ribosomal RNA". It matches the Rfam family "Bacterial small subunit ribosomal RNA", at positions 524 to 776 of the family's 1533-position model. The record is from RNAcentral.